Molecule: long non-coding RNA, 440 nt
Filed under: Androctonus crassicauda
Lineage: Eukaryota; Metazoa; Arthropoda; Arachnida; Scorpiones; Buthidae
Source: RNAcentral
UGAAAGUCUACGUAAACACCUAAGAGCAGGUUAUGUCAAGAAAAUUAAGUGGAUAUUCAAAAAACAAAGGAUUCUAAGAAGGAACACACAGCUGCCUCUUGAGAAAGUUAUCACCGUGGUAGGCGACAUCGCCGUACCGCAAUACGCAGAACGGUUGUUUCAGAAAGGCCCGAUGUAUGCCAUUGAAGAAAACUUAAGUGUAAGAAACGAAAUACACUAUAUCGAGGAUGUAUUAAGUAGUAUACCAACACAGGGCGUAGAAAAAGAAAAAAUGCGAUGGCAAUUUGUUAGAGAGAAGUCCGGAAGAAAAACGGGAGCUAAUGAGAUGCGACUACAGAAAGAGGACCUGUCCUUACUUCGACUGACAAGAAGUUGGAUGAGAAAUGAGGGCCUUAUUAUUACACGUGAAGAUAAAACUAAGAGAAUGGUAUUGAUGGAGG